GACGAACGCUGGCGGCGUGCUUAACACAUGCAAGUCGAACGGAAAGGCCCCUUUGGGGGUACUCGAGUGGCGAACGGGUGAGUAACACGUGAGUAACCUGCCCUUGACUUCGGGAUAACUUCAGGAAACUGGGGCUAAUACCGGAUAGGAAUCCUUGCUGCAUGGUGGGGGUUGGAAAGCUUCGGCGGUUUUGGAUGGACUCACGGCUUAUCAGCUUGUUGGUGGGGUAGAGGCUUACCAAGGCUUUGACGGGUAGCCGGCCUGAGAGGGCGACCGGCCACAUUGGGACUGAGAUACGGCCCAGACUCCUACGGGAGGCAGCAGUGGGGAAUAUUGCACAAUGGGCGGAAGCCUGAUGCAGCAACGCCGCGUGCGGGAUGACGGCCUUCGGGUUGUAAACCGCUUUCAGCAGGGGCGAAGCUUGUGGUGACGGUACCUGCAGAAGAAGCACCGGCUAACUACGUG
RNAcentral lists this ribosomal RNA (465 nucleotides) under uncultured bacterium. RNAcentral describes it as "partial 16S ribosomal RNA". It matches the Rfam family "Bacterial small subunit ribosomal RNA", at positions 28 to 507 of the family's 1533-position model. The record is from RNAcentral.